Long non-coding RNA from Magnolia sinica, 899 nucleotides. RefSeq lists it as uncharacterized. Lineage: Eukaryota; Viridiplantae; Streptophyta; Magnoliopsida; Magnoliales; Magnoliaceae. The record is from RefSeq and is a predicted model, not a curated record. The transcript has 3 exons.
AAGGUGUGGUUGUGAAAGGAUCCAGGGAAAUUGUUUUUCAUGAUUGGUUGAAAGGUCAAUUGACAUCUCGUCCCAUUUUGCUUUGUUGGAAAGCACACAUAGUAAAGGUGAAGUGCCUGUUUACUUGUUAGUAAACUUAAUUGAUGUAGUGUAAUUGAAGAUUUAACUUAGAACUGGAUUCCUGCGAGAACUCUUUUCAUGUUUCUAGUCUUGUUGAGUCUGGAUCAAGACAGGAUCUCCAGCAAGUUUUUUUAAAGAGUUAAUCUCCAACGAGUUUUGAAGAGACGCAGCUCAAAAUCUUGCCAAGUCGAGUUGAAUGAUAGGGUAAUUAGGUUCUCAUUGUCCUUUUCUAAAGUGUAAAUCUUACUAAUUGUAUUCAAUAUGUGCAGAGAAAAGCAGUUGUAUAGCACGUACUUGGGAACGAACCUGCUGAUGUUUACAGAGAAAAGCAGUUGUAUAGCACGUACUUGGGAACGAACCUGCUGAUGUUUACAGAGAAAAGCAGUUACAACACAUCGUGGUCCAAGAUGAAGUCCUAGCCAAUAGGUUGGGCCUUAUUCCCAUCAAAGCUGACCCAAGGCUGUUCGAAUAUGUUUCAGGUACUUCUUCAAGGUCUUUCUUCAAGGGAUUUGAUUUGUGGAAGGAAGAAACUGUAAUGAAGGUAAAAAAUCAAAGAUAAUAUGGUUUGCUAAAUCUGUUUCAGGCAUAUGAAUUACUAAAGAAUAAGCGGAGAAUUGUGAAAUCUGAACGUUUGAACUUUUUAACUGUCAAAAUGCAAAAGGUUGUCCCUCCUGAAAGACUUUUCAAUGAUUUAGAUUAUAGUAAAUGAUUUCCUUGUUCAAGGAAGGUUUCUGGAUUAUCUUUUGUUGUUUGACAGGAGCAUGAAUGUUGACCAUGAA